UACGGAAGGCAGCAGUGGGGAAUAUUGCACAAUGGGCGCAAGCCUGAUGCAGCCAUGCCGCGUGUAUGAAAAAGGCCUUCGGGUUGUAAAGUACUUUCAGUCGUGAGGAAGGUGUUAAGGUUAAUAACCUUAGCAAUUGACGUUAGCGACAGAAGAAGCACCGGUUAACUCCGUGCCAGCAGCCGCGGUAAUACGGAGGGUGCGAGCGUUAAUCGGAAUUACUGGGCGUAAAGGGCACGCAGGCGGUUAAUUAAGUUGGAUGUGAAAUCCCCGGGCUUAACCUGGGAAUGGCAUUCAAGACUGGUUAGCUAGAGUCUUGUAGAGGGGGUAGAAUUCCAUGUGUAGCGGUGAAAUGCGUAGAGAUGUGGAGGAAUACCGGUGGCGAAGGCGGCCCCUGGACAAAGACUGACGCUCAUGUGCGAAAGCGUGGGGAGCAAACAGGGAUUAGAUACC
This 453-nucleotide ribosomal RNA is filed under the name uncultured bacterium. RNAcentral's name for it is "bacterial SSU rRNA". It matches the Rfam family "Bacterial small subunit ribosomal RNA", at positions 340 to 786 of the family's 1533-position model. The record is from RNAcentral.